RNAcentral lists this ribosomal RNA (495 nucleotides) under uncultured bacterium. RNAcentral's name for it is "partial 16S ribosomal RNA". It matches the Rfam family "Bacterial small subunit ribosomal RNA", at positions 28 to 507 of the family's 1533-position model. The record is from RNAcentral.
GACGAACGCUGGCGGCGUGCCUAAUACAUGCAAGUAGAACGCUGAAGGAGGAGCUUGCUUCUCUGGAUGAGUUGCGAACGGGUGAGUAACGCGUAGGUAACCUGCCUGGUAGUGGGGGAUAACUAUUGGAAACGAUAGCUAAUACCGCAUAAUAGCAGUUGUUGCAUGAUAACUGUUUGAAAGGUGCAAUUGCACCGCUACCAGAUGGACCUGCGUUGUAUUAGCUAGUUGGUGGGGUAACGGCUCACCAAGGCGACGAUACAUAGCCGACCUGAGAGGGUGAUCGGCCACACUGGGACUGAGACACGGCCCAGACUCCUACGGGAGGCAGCAGUAGGGAAUCUUCGGCAAUGGACGAAAGUCUGACCGAGCAACGCCGCGUGAGUGAAGAAGGUUUUCGGAUCGUAAAGCUCUGUUGUAAGAGAAGAACGAGUGUGAGAGUGGAAAGUUCACACUGUGACGGUAUCUUACCAGAAAGGGACGGCUAACUACGUG